Schistosoma haematobium is the source of this 45-nucleotide non-coding RNA. The record is from Rfam. Lineage: Eukaryota; Metazoa; Platyhelminthes; Trematoda; Strigeidida; Schistosomatidae.
AUCAGUCUGACGAGUCCCAGAUAGGACGAAACGCGCGCCCUAGAU